UACGUAGGCAGCGAGCGUUGUUCGGAGUUACUGGGCGUAAAGGGUGUGUAGGCGGUUCUUUAAGUUUGGUGUGAAAUCUCCCGGCUCAACCGGGAGGGUGCGCCGAAUACUGAGGGACUAGAGUACGGGAGAGGAAAGUGGAAUUCCUGGUGUAGCGGUGAAAUGCGUAGAUAUCAGGAGGAACACCGGUGGUGUAGACGGCUUUCUGGACCGUAACUGACGCUGAGACACGAAAGCGUGGGUAGCAAACGGG
RNAcentral lists this ribosomal RNA (253 nucleotides) under uncultured bacterium. RNAcentral's name for it is "partial 16S ribosomal RNA". It matches the Rfam family "Bacterial small subunit ribosomal RNA", at positions 524 to 776 of the family's 1533-position model. The record is from RNAcentral.